UACUGCAAGUCGAACGAACUCUGGUAUUGAUUGGUGCUUGCAUCAUGAUUUACAUUUGAGUGAGUGGCGAACUGGUGAGUAACACGUGGGAAACCUGCCCAGAAGCGGGGGAUAACACCUGGAAACAGAUGCUAAUACCGCAUAACAACUUGGACCGCAUGGUCCGAGCUUGAAAGAUGGCUUCGGCUAUCACUUUUGGAUGGUCCCGCGGCGUAUUAGCUAGAUGGUGGGGUAACGGCUCACCAUGGCAAUGAUACGUAGCCGACCUGAGAGGGUAAUCGGCCACAUUGGGACUGAGACACGGCCCAAACUCCUACGGGAGGCAGCAGUAGGGAAUCUUCCACAAUGGACGAAAGUCUGAUGGAGCAACGCCGCGUGAGUGAAGAAGGGUUUCGGCUCGUAAAACUCUGUUGUUAAAGAAGAACAUAUCUGAGAGUAACUGUUCAGGUAUUGACGGUAUUUAACCAGAAAGCCACGGCUAACUACGUGCCAGCAGCCGCGGUAAUACGUAGGUGGCAAGCGUUGUCCGGAUUUAUUGGGCGUAAAGCGAGCGCAGGCGGUUUUUUAAGUCUGAUGUGAAAGCCUUCGGCUCAACCGAAGAAGUGCAUCGGAAACUGGGAAACUUGAGUGCAGAAGAGGACAGUGGAACUCCAUGUGUAGCGGUGAAAUGCGUAGAUAUAUGGAAGAACACCAGUGGCGAAGGCGGCUGUCUGGUCUGUAACUGACGCUGAGGCUCGAAAGUAUGGGUAGCAAACAGGAUUAGAUACCCUGGUAGUCCAUACCGUAAACGAUGAAUGCUAAGUGUUGGAGGGUUUCCGCCCUUCAGUGCUGCAGCUAACGCAUUAAGCAUUCCGCCUGGGGAGUACGGCCGCAAGGCUGAAACUCAAAGGAAUUGACGGGGGCCCGCACAAGCGGUGGAGCAUGUGGUUUAAUUCGAAGCUACGCGAAGAACCUUACCAGGUCUUGACAUACUAUGCAAAUCUAAGAGAUUAGACGUUCCCUUCGGGGACAUGGAUACAGGU
Molecule: ribosomal RNA, 1022 nt
Filed under: Lactiplantibacillus plantarum
Lineage: Bacteria; Bacillati; Bacillota; Bacilli; Lactobacillales; Lactobacillaceae
Description: bacterial SSU rRNA
Rfam family: Bacterial small subunit ribosomal RNA
Source: RNAcentral